GAGGCACCUCGUUCGGUGAGGCGUCUUCACGGACACAGGCCACUGACCCCACGACGUCGAGAGACGCCCAGGUUCAGGACACCUCUCCCCGGCCUAAGGGGUGAGGCCAAGUGGCUUCCCACCCGGUUCAACGGCUGGGAUUACGCCGUGGAGUGCCAAAGCUCUGACGAGUUGGGGUGAGCC
This 183-nucleotide small RNA is filed under the name Streptomyces sp. Its description in RNAcentral is "Magnesium sequence". It matches the Rfam family "M-box riboswitch aptamer (ykoK leader)". Rfam says of the family: M-box riboswitch, also know as ykoK leader is described as a metaloregulatory RNA that sense divalent metals and function as a genetic control element of genes related to divalent metal transport in bacteria. Lineage: Bacteria; Bacillati; Actinomycetota; Actinomycetes; Kitasatosporales; Streptomycetaceae. The record is from RNAcentral.